AAUGUUUGGCCAGCUUGCUCACUGAUUUCUGUGCUUUGCCAAACACUGAAAGCCAAAACAGUGCUCCAGAAAAACACCCAGAGAGUGUUUUUGUUCCUCUUAGUGCUGCUUUCCAGUGGCUCACCACCUUCUCCCUGGAGAGGGAAGAGUAAAACAGACCAUGCAUACUGCAUUUUUCUUGUCCUUGACUGUCCUCCAAGGUUCCCUUCUUUGAUCACCAACAGCAGAAGCAGAUGGAUAAUCAAAUGUUGCAAGAGCAGAAGCCUGCUGAAUAGCACUCCUUGGUUCUUAGAUUAUGUAAUGGUUCCUGCUGUAGUUCUUAUUUUCACUACAAAGAAAAGCAUUCUGUAAGAGAAACUAAACAACCACAGUUCUUUGAUUGGAGGUAAUAUACUUACAACUUUACCUGGGUACCUUUCAGCUGAGAUGAAAGAAAAUUAGAAGGUAAAAUUUGUCAUGGAGAAGUCCAAUCUGUAUUAAUUUCUCAAGCAGAUUUUUACAAGGACUUAAAGCUUGUUUGCAGUAAAAAAUGAAAAAAGAGAAAAAAAGGAGAUGAACUCAAUUAAUCAAGCAAAUUAUUAGACACAUACAUUCAGCUAGGAAUAAUAUUUUUUAAAAGCAGCAAUGUUAAUGAAGUCUUUCAGAUUUGUCCUUCUCACAGGGCAGCUACAUUAGCUCAAGACCAAAUUCUGGUAUCAAUUUUGGCUUUGCAGAUAUACCGUUUAAUUACUGUCUGAGAAUAUUAAUAUAAAAUUAGGAUUUAUUCACAUGUAGUGUGUUCUACUU
Molecule: long non-coding RNA, 786 nt
Filed under: Coturnix japonica (Japanese quail)
Lineage: Eukaryota; Metazoa; Chordata; Aves; Galliformes; Phasianidae
Description: lncRNA (ENSCJPG00005009460.1)
Source: RNAcentral